AGAAUCAACGCUGGCGGCGUGCCUAACACAUGCAAGUCGAACGCGAAAGCCCCGCAAGGGGUCAGUAGAGUGGCAAACGGGUGAGUAACACGUGGGUGAUCUGCCUCAGAGUGGGGGAUAACGACCCGAAAGGGUCGCUAAUACCGCAUAACAUCCUGCGCUUGGAUGCGUGGAGAUCAAAGUUGGGGAUUCGCAAGAACCUGACGCUUGGAGAGGAGCCCGCGGCCGAUUAGCUAGUUGGUGAGGUAACGGCUCACCAAGGCAACGAUCGGUAUCC
Molecule: ribosomal RNA, 277 nt
Filed under: uncultured bacterium
Lineage: Bacteria
Description: partial small subunit ribosomal RNA
Rfam family: Bacterial small subunit ribosomal RNA
Source: RNAcentral